AACACAGGUGCUGCAUGGCUGUCGUCAGCUCGUGUCGUGAGAUGUUGGGUUAAGUCCCGCAACGAGCGCAACCCUUGUCUUUAGUUGCUACGCAAGAGCACUCUAAAGAGACUGCCGGUGACAAACCGGAGGAAGGUGGGGAUGACGUCAAGUCCUCAUGGCCCUUAUGGGUAGGGCUUCACACGUCAUACAAUGGUGCAUACAGAGGGUUGCCAACCCGCGAGGGGGAGCUAAUCUCAGAAAAUGCAUCGUAGUCCGGAUCGUAGUCUGCAACUCGACUACGUGAAGCUGGAAUCGCUAGUAAUCGCGGAUCAGAAUGUCGCGGUGAAUACGUUCCCGGGUCUUGUACACACCGCCCGUCAUACCAUGGGAGUGGGUUUUGCCAGAAGCCGUUACCUAACCGCAAGG
This 408-nucleotide ribosomal RNA is filed under the name uncultured beta proteobacterium. RNAcentral's name for it is "bacterial SSU rRNA". It matches the Rfam family "Bacterial small subunit ribosomal RNA", at positions 1031 to 1446 of the family's 1533-position model. Lineage: Bacteria; Pseudomonadati; Pseudomonadota; Betaproteobacteria. The record is from RNAcentral.